GAAAGUUGGGGGCUCAAAGAUGAUCAGAUACCGUCCUUGUCUCAACCAUAAAUGAUGCUGACCAGGGAUUGACAAAUGUUGCUUUUAGGACUCUGCCAGCACCUUAAGAGAAAUCAAAGUCUUUGGGU
RNAcentral lists this non-coding RNA (128 nucleotides) under Nelumbo nucifera (sacred lotus). RNAcentral describes it as "Eukaryotic small subunit ribosomal RNA". It matches the Rfam family "Eukaryotic small subunit ribosomal RNA", at positions 985 to 1112 of the family's 1831-position model. The record is from Rfam by way of RNAcentral. Lineage: Eukaryota; Viridiplantae; Streptophyta; Magnoliopsida; Proteales; Nelumbonaceae.